This 363-nucleotide ribosomal RNA is filed under the name Triticum aestivum (bread wheat). RNAcentral's name for it is "partial small subunit ribosomal RNA". The record is from RNAcentral. Lineage: Eukaryota; Viridiplantae; Streptophyta; Magnoliopsida; Poales; Poaceae.
AUGAGUCAUGGUAGUAGGCUGCUACGGCAAAAAACUGGUAAGCCCCCUAAGGGAAGAAAUUUGAAGAAAGUCUCAUCCUGCUUACCAUGUUUCAUCUUAAAAUUUUGGCUUGAUUUUUUUUUUCUGUGUAACCUAUAUCUCUGCAUGGUUACUUUCUCUAGACAUGCUUUAGCUGCAGCAUUGGUCAAGUGGCUUGAACACAACUCACAUGAGUCAUUGCCAAAUGGCCCUUUUCUGAAAUUCAUUCUCUUAUGCACUGAGAGAGGAGUUACACCAAUACAGUAUGUAUACAUACAGAUGCAGGCAAUGGAGAAACUCAUGCAGAUGAUGACUGAAGAAUUUUUCAUGAAUUUUCCAACCUGA